AUUGAACGCUGGCGGCAUGCCUUACACAUGCAAGUCGAACGGCAGCGGGGGAGAAGCUUGCUUUUCCUGCCGGCGAGUGGCGAACGGGUGAGUAAUACAUCGGAACGUGCCCUGUAGUGGGGGAUAACUAGUCGAAAGAUUAGCUAAUACCGCAUACGACCUGAGGGUGAAAGUGGGGGACCGCUAGGCCUCAUGCUAUAGGAGCGGCCGAUGUCUGAUUAGCUAGUUGGUGGGGUAAAGGCCUACCAAGGCGACGAUCAGUAGCUGGUCUGAGAGGACGAGCAGCCACACGGGGACUAGGACACGGCCAAGCCUCCUACGGGAGGCAGAAGUGGGGAAUUUUGGACAAUGGGCGAAAGCCUGAUCCAGCAAUGCCGCGUGUGUGAAGAAGGCCUUCGGGUUGUAAAGCACUUUUGUCCGGAAGGAAAUGGCUCUGGUUAAUACCUUGGGUCGAUGACGGUACCGGAAGAAUAAGGACCGGCUAACUACGUGCCAGCAGCCGCCGUAA
This 508-nucleotide ribosomal RNA is filed under the name uncultured bacterium. RNAcentral's name for it is "partial 16S ribosomal RNA". It matches the Rfam family "Bacterial small subunit ribosomal RNA", at positions 30 to 523 of the family's 1533-position model. The record is from RNAcentral.